RNAcentral lists this ribosomal RNA (506 nucleotides) under uncultured marine bacterium. Its description in RNAcentral is "bacterial SSU rRNA". It matches the Rfam family "Bacterial small subunit ribosomal RNA", at positions 355 to 863 of the family's 1533-position model. The record is from RNAcentral.
UGAGGAAUAUUGGACAAUGGAGGGGACUCUGAUCCAGCCAUGCCGCGUGCAGGAAGACUGCCCUAUGGGUUGUAAACUGCUUUUAUACAGGAAGAAACACUAGUACGUGUACUAGCUUGACGGUACUGUAAGAAUAAGGACCGGCUAACUCCGUGCCAGCAGCCGCGGUAAUACGGAGGGUCCGAGCGUUAUCCGGAAUCAUUGGGUUUAAAGGGUCCGCAGGCGGUCGAUUAAGUCAGAGGUGAAAUCCCAUAGCUUAACUAUGGAACUGCCUUUGAUACUGGUUGGCUUGAGUCAUAUGGAAGUAGAUAGAAUGUGUAGUGUAGCGGUGAAAUGCAUAGAUAUUACACAGAAUACCGAUUGCGAAGGCAGUCUACUACGUAUGUACUGACGCUCAUGGACGAAAGCGUGGGGAGCGAACAGGAUUAGAUACCCUGGUAGUCCACGCCGUAAACGAUGGACACUAGUUGUUGGGAUUUAUCUCAGUGACUAAGCGAAAGUGAUAA